GCGGCGAGCGAAGCGGGAAGAGCUCAAAUUUAUAAUCUGGCACCUUCGGUGUCCGAGUUGUAAUCUCUAGAAGUGUUUUCCGCGUUGGACCGCACACAAGUCUGUUGGAAUACAGCGGCAUAGUGGUGAAACCCCCGUAUAUGGUGCGGACGCCCAGCGCUUUGUGAUACACUUUCAAUGAGUCGAGUUGUUUGGGAAUGCAGCUCAAAUUGGGUGGUAAAUUCCAUCUAAAGCUAAAUAUUGGCGAGAGACCGAUAGCGAACAAGUACCGUGAGGGAAAGAUGAAAAGCACUUUGGAAAGAGAGUUAACAGUACGUGAAAUUGUUGGAAGGGAAACGCUUGAAGUCAGACUUGCUUGCCGGAGCUUGCUUCGGUUUGCAGGCCAGCAUCAGUUUUCCGGGGUGGAUAAUGACGGUUUGAAGGUAGCAGUCUCGGCUGUGUUAUAGCUUUCCGUUGGAUACAUCCUGGGGGACUGAGGAACGCAGCGUGCUUUUUGCGAAAGACUCGUCUUUUUCACGCUUAGGAUGCUGGUGGAAUGGCUUUAAACGAC
RNAcentral lists this ribosomal RNA (550 nucleotides) under Rhodotorula graminis. Its description in RNAcentral is "eukaryotic LSU rRNA". It matches the Rfam family "Eukaryotic large subunit ribosomal RNA", at positions 86 to 648 of the family's 3401-position model. The record is from RNAcentral. Lineage: Eukaryota; Fungi; Basidiomycota; Microbotryomycetes; Sporidiobolales; Sporidiobolaceae.